This is an RNA transcript of Etheostoma spectabile (orangethroat darter), 3816 nucleotides long. It is a transcript of the gene named inosine-5'-monophosphate dehydrogenase 1b, with no coding region annotated. The record is from RefSeq and is a predicted model, not a curated record. Lineage: Eukaryota; Metazoa; Chordata; Actinopteri; Perciformes; Percidae. The transcript has 18 exons.
CGCUGCUAGUAGUACAUAACACCAGAACGCACUGUCUGCAGGGACAGGCAGGCAAUCACUUCUGAAUCACUUUACUGCCAACCAGUACUUUUACAUUUUGGAGCCACGAACAGCCUGUUUUUUCUUUCUUCGAGAUUGUUCUUCAAGCAUGGCGGAUUACUUAAUCAGCGGUGGUACAGGCUAUGUCCCUGAAGAUGGACUCUCAGCUCAGCAGCUCUUCUCGAUUGGAGAUGGCCUAACAUACAACAGAUCUGACCAACAGUGCGUUGGCUCCGAUGGUCAUACGGCUGAAGAGCUAUGCUCUAAAGGAGAUGGGUUGACUUACAAUGACUUCCUGAUAUUACCUGGCUUCAUCGACUUUACCUCAGACGAAGUGGACUUGACAUCAGCGCUGACCAGAAAGAUCACUUUGAAGACCCCUCUCAUCUCCUCCCCCAUGGAUACUGUCACAGAGUCGGCAAUGGCAAUUGCUAUGGCUCUGAUGGGAGGCAUUGGUAUCAUUCACCACAACUGCACACCAGAAUUCCAAGCCAAUGAGGUCCGCAAGGUCAAGGUUCUGAGGUUUGAGCAGGGUUUUAUCACAGACCCAGUUGUGAUGAGUCCGCGCCAGACAGUUGGGGAUGUGUUUGAGGCCAAAGUAAGACAUGGCUUCUCUGGUAUUCCUGUCACAGAGACAGGCAAAAUGGGCGGCAAACUGGUGGGCAUCGUCACUUCCCGAGACAUUGACUUCCUUUCUGAGAAAGACCGCGGCAAACCUCUUGAGGAGGCCAUGACAAAGAGGGAGGAGUUGGUAGUGGCUCCAGCCGGUGUUACACUGAAAGAAGCCAAUGAUAUUCUGCAGCGCAGUAAAAAAGGUAAGCUUCCCAUUGUAAAUAAUAACGACGAGCUGGUGGCCAUUAUUGCCAGGACGGAUCUGAAGAAGAACAGGGACUACCCGCUGGCCUCCAAAGACUCACGCAAACAGCUGCUGUGUGGCGCUGCCAUCGGCACCAGGGAGGAUGACAAAUACAGACUGGACCUGUUGGUGCAGGCUGGAGUGGAUGUUGUUGUACUGGACUCUUCACAAGGCAACUCGGUGUAUCAAAUCAACAUGAUAAAUUAUAUUAAACAGAAGCAUCCAGAAUUGCAGGUGGUGGGAGGAAAUGUGGUUACAGCCGCCCAGGCAAAGAAUCUGAUCGAUGCUGGGGUUGAUGCUCUGAGAGUCGGCAUGGGCUGCGGCUCCAUCUGCAUCACCCAGGAAGUCAUGGCAUGUGGGCGGCCCCAGGGGACCUCUGUGUACAAGGUAGCAGAGUACGCCAGGCGCUUCGGUGUGCCAGUCAUCGCUGAUGGCGGCAUUCAGACUGUGGGCCAUGUGGUGAAGGCUCUGUCUCUUGGAGCAUCGACUGUUAUGAUGGGCUCGUUGCUAGCGGCAACCACUGAGGCUCCAGGGGAGUACUUCUUCUCAGAUGGUGUCCGGCUGAAAAAGUACCGUGGUAUGGGCUCCCUAGACGCUAUGGAGAAGAGCACCAGCAGCCAGAAACGCUAUUUUAGUGAGGGCGACAAUGUGAAGGUAGCCCAGGGUGUGUCGGGCUCGGUCCAGGACAAGGGUUCCAUCCACAAGUUUGUACCUUACCUGAUAGCUGGUAUCCAGCAUGGCUGCCAGGACAUCGGGGCAAAGAGUCUUUCUGUUCUCCGUUCCAUGAUGUACUCUGGAGAGCUGAAGUUUGAGAAAAGGACCAUGUCUGCACAAGUGGAGGGAGGAGUUCAUGGACUUCACUCUUACGAGAAGCGGCUUUACUGAGCAGGGGAUGGAGUGCAGAUCGUCGUUGCACAUGAAACACCCAAUCUAACUGUGACCAAAUCCAGCUGCUUUUGGGAGGAAAGAGACGAGUAGCUAAGUGAGAAUCUCCAAACUGACAGCCGCCUCUCUGAACACCUGGGAUCUCACACUCAAGAAGUGGCACAUCAGGGAUUUCGGAAUGACGUACGCACCUGUCUCUUCAGUAUGCAGCCGAUCCCAAUUUAGCGUGUGGCUUGAGAGUAGUGGGAAAGUGAACUGCGUGCCUGGUUGGUGAAUUAAGGGUUGUGUGUGUCCAUUUUGUGAUAUAGUUUAAAAUGUGUCUUGGGGCAAGUAAGUGAAGGUACAGUGUGUUAAUAUUAGUGAGUCUAAAAUAGCCAUGGUGCAGAUCACAUCAGCAUCUUAUCUGGCUUUUUUUAAGGAUUCACACCUACCAGCCCACUCCCGAUCUCAAGUCUCUUACAUCCCAGCUCUUAAACACACUAGUAUGUACAAAAAAAACAAAAAAAACAAAAAACAAAACAAGACAAAACACUUGUCUUUUUAUGUGCUGUGUGUCUGUGUUUCAUGGCAAUCUUACCUUUUUAUUUUAUUUUUUUCUAUCACAGCUAUACGCUACUAAAGAACAGUAGCUGCUAAUAUUUCAGCGCAUAUUGUUUACUUCCUGGAUUGUGGAUCCCGAGGUACGAGAUAUUGGUCGUGACUAUUAUCCUUUCGACUCGGUCUCCUCCAGUGUCCCCUACAAUCAGUAGACGGAACCCAGACCCUCAGUCUUUAAUACUGUGAACAUUAAUUUUCCCUUCAACAAUAUCUUGACAAAUAAUCAGUAUCCCAUCUUAGUGCAGUGUGUUCAUAUGUUGAGCAUGGAAGGGACCAAAAGCUGAAGAUCAGGAAUGUUCGAAAGAAGAAAAAAAAAAAAAAAAAAAAACUAAAACGUAUCAAAUCAAUCAUAAAUUGUUCGUAAUGAGGACGAAGGACUAUUUCUCUAACCUUAAUUUGAAUACUUUUAGAUAAAAAAAACAACAACUUUAUAUUAAACCUGUAUUGUCUAGGGGGGGCUUUGAAUUGAGCAUGAAGUGUUUUUGAUAUGCAUGUUUGUUUUUUCACUAAGCCAAACAUGGAUGUAUUUAUAUUCUUCUUUUAUUGUAAUUGCACACAUACUGCCAAGCGUCUUUACAUUUCCUCUGACACUUUUCUUUUGUAAUUUCAAAACCAAAAUUGGCGUAAGAAGUCACCUGUUACCUUGUUAGUUGUUCAUUUCUGUAUUCUCAGUGUGGCAUAGGUUCUCUGUUACCAUAGGUGUAUUUUAGUUUGGAUUUAUUUGUUUCUUUUUACCGGAGAUAUGCCUUGAAAUGGGGAUGAAUAAAUGCUGUUCGACAGCUCAGUGCAAAAGCAUAAAGCUACACACCCUUUCGCCUCUUUUUAUUUAAAACAGAAUCGCUGUGUUUGUUAUCAGCUUAUGUAGGAGUAGGCUUUGUCAACAUUUUCAUAAUGGAUGUCCUUUUGGCCAUAACUGAAAUGUCCAAGAUUAUAAAAGUUGAGUUGUUUUCUCUAACAUACUAUGUACUUGACCCUGCACAGAGUUCACUUGACUAACAAAAGCCUUGUAAUUGGACUAAAUAGCAAAAUAAAUGAACAUGAAAAUAUGAAGAAAUAUAUAGCUUCCUGUAUCCAGUUGCAAGUGACUGCUGCUUGUUUUGAGUUUCCCAUAUAAAGAGAGUUCAGGUUUAUAUAAUGUCUAUUUUGUAAAGUACUGAGUCCUGUACGUCCAUCUAAAAAGCACACAUAUAGGGAAUAGUGUUAUGUGUUUUUAGUCUGAAGUAUAUUGCAAAGCUACAGUUGCCAGGACAUAGUGGUCCCUUCUCCAACCAACAACCAAAACUAUAAGCAUGGGCUUUUAAGAUGGAUGGAAAAGACUCGGUAUUCAUAAAUCCUUUUUUUGAAGAAGAAGAAUAUCACUUCAAAAUAUGUUUACAGGAAAACAUUCAACAGAGGAAAGUUGCUUUUGCUUUCUAUGGUAAAUAAAAAAUAAAAAUAAA